Molecule: ribosomal RNA, 1372 nt
Filed under: uncultured bacterium
Lineage: Bacteria
Description: bacterial SSU rRNA
Rfam family: Bacterial small subunit ribosomal RNA
Source: RNAcentral
GAUGAACGCUGGCGGCGUGCCUAAUACAUGCAAGUCGAGCGAACAGACGAGGAGCUUGCUCCUUUGACGUUAGCGGCGGACGGGUGAGUAACACGUGGGUAACCUACCUAUAAGACUGGGAUAACUUCGGGAAACCGGAGCUAAUACCGGAUAAUAUUUCGAACCGCAUGGUUCGAUAGUGAAAGAUGGCUUUGCUAUCACUUAUAGAUGGACCUGCGCCGUAUUAGCUAGUUGGUAAGGUAAUGGCUUACCAAGGCAACGAUACGUAGCCGACCUGAGAGGGUGAUCGGCCACACUGGAACUGAGGCACGGUCCAGACUCCUACGGGAGGCAGCAGUAGGGAAUCUUCCGCAAUGGGCGAAAGCCUGACGGAGCAACGCCGCGUGAGUGAUGAAGGUCUUCGGAUCGUAAAACUCUGUUAUUAGGGAAGAACAAACGUGUAAGUAACUGUGCACGUCUUGACGGUACCUAAUCAGAAAGCCACGGCUAACUACGUGCCAGCAGCCGCGGUAAUACGUAGGUGGCAAGCGUUAUCCGGAAUUAUUGGGCGUAAAGCGCGCGUAGGCGGUUUUUUAAGUCUGAUGUGAAAGCCCACGGCUCAACCGUGGAGGGUCAUUGGAAACUGGAAAACUUGAGUGCAGAAGAGGAAAGUGGAAUUCCAUGUGUAGCGGUGAAAUGCGCAGAGAUAUGGAGGAACACCAGUGGCGAAGGCGACUUUCUGGUCUGUAACUGACGCUGAUGUGCGAAAGCGUGGGGAUCAAACAGGAUUAGAUACCCUGGUAGUCCACGCCGUAAACGAUGAGUGCUAAGUGUUAGGGGGUUUCCGCCCCUUAGUGCUGCAGCUAACGCAUUAAGCACUCCGCCUGGGGAGUACGACCGCAAGGUUGAAAUUCAAAGGAAUUGACGGGGACCCGCACAAGCGGUGGAGCAUGUGGUUUAAUUCGAAGCAACGCGAAGAACCUUACCAAAUCUUGACAUCCUUUGACCCUUCUAGAGAUAGAAGUUUCCCCUUCGGGGGACAAAGUGACAGGUGGUGCAUGGUUGUCGUCAGCUCGUGUCGUGAGAUGUUGGGUUAAGUCCCGCAACGAGCGCAACCCUUAAGCUUAGUUGCCAUCAUUAAGUUGGGCACCCUAAGUUGACUGCCGGUGACAAACCGGAGGAAGGUGGGGAUGACGUCAAAUCAUCAUGCCCCUUAUGAUUUGGGCUACACACGUGCUACAAUGGACAAUACAAAGGGCAGCGAAACCGCGAGGUCAAGCAAAUCCCAUAAAGUUGUUCUUAGUUCGGAUUGUAGUCUGCAACUCGACUACAUGAAGCUGGAAUCGCUAGUAAUCGUAGAUCAGCAUGCUACGGUGAAUACGUUCCCGGGUCU